UACCUCCAUCGAGUGCUAUAGCUGAUAC
RNAcentral lists this small RNA (28 nucleotides) under Bombyx mori (domestic silkworm). RNAcentral's name for it is "ovarian small RNA-20855". The record is from RNAcentral. Lineage: Eukaryota; Metazoa; Arthropoda; Insecta; Lepidoptera; Bombycidae.